AACGCACAUUGCACUCUUUUAGAGUAUGCCUGUUUGAGAAUCUAUAGUAUUUAUUUUUGUCUAUAUUUUUUAGGAAGUAUAGGUAAAAGAUAUGGGGUUUCCCUCGCAAGGGGGUACUCUGAAAUAGAUUGCCUCUGUUUUGAUAGACUCGACGAAGUUUUUCAAUCCUGCAGAAAAGUAUUUGAAUGGAACUGUGGUUUCUCAAUAUGCUGAAUAUGUGGGGGAAAGAUGGAGAAUCUAUUUGGCAGAUGUCCAUACCCUAUAAGUCGGUCUUAGGAUCGGCUUGAACCAUGGUCUCAAAUCAGGUAGGAAGACCCGCUGAACUUAA
This 328-nucleotide unclassified non-coding RNA is filed under the name uncultured Chytridiomycota. RNAcentral describes it as "sequence contains ITS2". Lineage: Eukaryota; Fungi; Chytridiomycota. The record is from RNAcentral.